This 443-nucleotide ribosomal RNA is filed under the name uncultured bacterium. Its description in RNAcentral is "partial 16S ribosomal RNA". It matches the Rfam family "Bacterial small subunit ribosomal RNA", at positions 338 to 795 of the family's 1533-position model. The record is from RNAcentral.
CCUACGGGAGGCUGCAGUGGGGAAUAUUGGGCAAUGGGCGCAAGCCUGACCCAGCAACGCCGCGUGAAGGAAGAAGGCUUUCGGGUUCUAAACUUCUUUUGUCAGGGACGAAGAACGUGACGGUACCGGACGAAUAAGCCACGGCUAAAUACGUGCCCGCAGCCGCGGUAAGAAGAAGGUGGCAAGCGUUAUCCGGAUUUACUGGGUGGAAGGGGCGUGUAGGCGGGACGGCAAGUCAGAUGGGAAAACCACGGGCUCAACCUGUGGCCUGCAUUUGAAACUGUAGUUCUUGAGUACUGGAGAGGCAGACGGAAGUCCUAGUGUAGCGGUGAAAUGCGUAGAUAUUAGGAGGAACACCAGUGGCGAAGGCGGUCUGCUGGACAGCAACUGACGCUGAGGCGCGAAAGCGUGGGGAGCAAACAGGAUUAGAUACCCCAGUAGUC